This 499-nucleotide ribosomal RNA is filed under the name uncultured bacterium. RNAcentral's name for it is "partial 16S ribosomal RNA". It matches the Rfam family "Bacterial small subunit ribosomal RNA", at positions 899 to 1397 of the family's 1533-position model. The record is from RNAcentral.
ACUCAAAUGAAUUGACGGGGGUCCGCACAAGCGGUGGAACAUGUGGUUUAAUUCGACACUACGCGAGGAACCUUACCUGGGCUUGACAUAUAACUGCUACUGGCAGAAACGUCGGGUUUUUGGGAAACCGAAACGGUUAUACAGGUGCUGCAUGGCUGUCGUCAGCUCGUGUCGUGAGAUGUUGGGUUAAGUCCUUUAACGAGCGCAACCCCUGCUGUUAGUAGCGAUUCGCAAGAAGCACUCUAGCAGGACUGCCUGGGAAACCAGGAGGAAGGUGGGGAUGACGUCAAGUCCUCAUGGCCCUUAUGUCCAGGGCGACACACGUGUUACAAUGGCAGGUACAAAGGGAAGCAAACCCGCGAGGGGGAGCAAAGCUCAGAAAACUUGUCUCAGUUCAGAUUGAAGUCUGCAACCCGACUUCAUGAAGUUGAAAUCGCUAGUAAUCGCAUAUCAGAAUGAUGCGGUGAAUACGUUCUCGGACCUUGCACACACCGCCCGU